UGGCGUUUGCAUGGCUACUGAGCCUUACUGAUAGGACCCCGAAAGGUGGUGAACUUUGCCUGCACAGGUUGAAGUCAGGGGAAACUCUGAUGGAGGACCGUACGGGUUAUUGAUGUGCAAAUCAUUUUUCUGAUGUAGGUAAAGGUGCGAAAGACUCAUCGAACCACCUAAUAGCUGGUUUCCUCCGAAGUUUCCCUCAGGAUAGCUGUAAUGCAUUUAGUUAAGGGGAGUAGAGAUAUGGGUAGAGGUGCAGGGAGCCUUCGGGUUCUCAACUUAUUUCCAAACUUCGAACCUCCUUGUUAGGCAUUUACCUAACUGGAAAUGCUUAAAUGAAUUAGCGUUACAAGUGGGCUCUGACCGGUAAGCGGUCAUGGCGAAAUGGGAUGAACCAUACGUCUGAAUAAGGUGCCGAAAUGUACUAUCACUGAUACCAUAAAGGGAGUCCAUGUAUUUAGACAGCAGGUCGGUGCCCCUAAAAGCAGGUAUCCGCUAAAGAGUGUGUUAAAACUCACCUGCCGAAUACUAGGGCCCCGAAAAUGAAUGGCGCAUAUAGUACUACCGAUCUCAGACAUCAGUUCUAUUGAACUGAGAGUAGGGGGAUGUGGACAUUUUUGUGAAGGUGCAAUGUGAGUUGGACUGGAAGAAUGUCUAUUACAGAUCCUAAUUGAAGUAGC
RNAcentral lists this non-coding RNA (674 nucleotides) under Trichomonas vaginalis G3. RNAcentral's name for it is "Eukaryotic large subunit ribosomal RNA". It matches the Rfam family "Eukaryotic large subunit ribosomal RNA", at positions 779 to 1464 of the family's 3401-position model. The record is from Rfam by way of RNAcentral. Lineage: Eukaryota; Parabasalia; Trichomonadida; Trichomonadidae.